RNAcentral lists this ribosomal RNA (409 nucleotides) under uncultured bacterium. RNAcentral describes it as "bacterial SSU rRNA". It matches the Rfam family "Bacterial small subunit ribosomal RNA", at positions 355 to 776 of the family's 1533-position model. The record is from RNAcentral.
CUUGGAAUCUUGCGCAAUGGGCGAAAGCCUGACGCAGCGACACCGCGUGAGGGAUGAAGGCUCUAGAGUUGUAAACCUCUUUCAGGAGGGACGAAGCGAAAGUGACGGUACCUCCAGAAGAAGCCCCGGCCAACUACGUGCCAGCAGCCGCGGUAAUACGUAGGGGGCGAGCGUUGUCCGGAUUUAUUGGGCGUAAAGAGCGCGUAGGUGGUUCAUCAAGUCGGGUGUGAAAGUCCAGGGCUCAACUCUGGAAGGCCAUUCGAAACUGAUGAACUCGAGCAUGGUAGGGGGAUCUGGAAUUUCUGGUGUAGCGGUGAAAUGCGCAGAUAUCAGGAGGAACACCGGUGGCGAAGGCGGGAUCCUGGGCCAUUGCUGACACUGAGGCGCGAAAGCUAGGGGAGCGAACAGG